RNAcentral lists this ribosomal RNA (393 nucleotides) under uncultured bacterium. RNAcentral describes it as "partial 16S ribosomal RNA". It matches the Rfam family "Bacterial small subunit ribosomal RNA", at positions 523 to 918 of the family's 1533-position model. The record is from RNAcentral.
AUACGGAGGAUGCGAGCGUUAUCCGGAUUUAUUGGGUUUAAAGGGUGCGUAGGCUGUGCGUUAAGUCAGGGGUGAAAUGCCGUCGCUCAACGACGGAGCUGCCCUUGAUACUGGCGUGCUGGAGUACGGAUGCCGUUGGAGGAAUGAGUGGUGUAGCGGUGAAAUGCUUAGAUAUCACUCAGAACACCGAGUGCGAAGGCAUGUGAGGAAUCGGGCACGGAAGCUGAGGCACGAGAGCGGGGGGAUAGAACAGGGUUAGAGACCCUGGUAUUCCACGCCGUAAACGAUGAUGACUAACCGUCGGCGAUAGACAGCCGGUGGCCAAGCGAAAGAGAUAAGUCAUCCACCUGGGGAGUACGUCGGCAACGAUGAAACUUAAAGGAAUUGACGGGG